UCUAGUGCAGGUGUUGCUGUUUCUUGUGCAUUUCUAGUGCAGGUGUUGCUGUUUCUUGUGCAUUUCUAGUGCAGGUGUUGCUGUUUCUUGUGCAUUUCUAGUGCAGGUGUUGCUGUUUCUUGUGCAUUUCUAGUGCAGGUGUUGCUGUUUCUUGUGCAUUUCUAGUGCAGGUGUUGCUGUUUCUUGUGCAUUUCUAGUGCAGGUGUUGCUGUUUCUUGUGCAUUUCUAGUGCAGGUGUUGCUGUUUCUUGUGCAUUUCUAGUGCAGGUGUUGCUGUUUCUUGUGCAUUUCUAGUGCAGGUGUUGCUGUUUCUU
Molecule: long non-coding RNA, 313 nt
Organism: Acomys russatus (golden spiny mouse)
Lineage: Eukaryota; Metazoa; Chordata; Mammalia; Rodentia; Muridae
Exons: 4
Source: RefSeq, a predicted model, not a curated record